RNAcentral lists this transfer RNA (74 nucleotides) under Deltaproteobacteria bacterium. RNAcentral's name for it is "tRNA-Met". It matches the Rfam family "tRNA". From Rfam's summary of the family: Transfer RNA (tRNA) molecules are approximately 80 nucleotides in length. Their secondary structure includes four short double-helical elements and three loops (D, anti-codon, and T loops). Lineage: Bacteria; Pseudomonadati; Myxococcota; Myxococcia. The record is from RNAcentral.
CGCGGGGUAGAGCAGUCCGGUAGCUCGUUGGGCUCAUAACCCAAAGGUCACAGGUUCAAAUCCUGUCCCCGCUA